UACGAAGGGGGCGAGCGUUGCUCGGAAUCACUGGGCGUAAAGCGCACGUAGGCGGAUUGCUAAGUCAGGGGUGAAAUCCUGGAGCUCAACUCCAGAACUGCCCUUGAUACUGGCGGUCUCGAGUCCGGGAGAGGUGAGUGGAACUGCGAGUGUAGAGGUGAAAUUCGUAGAUAUUCGCAAGAACGCCAGUGGCGAAGGCGGCUCACUGGCCCGGUACUGACGCUGAGGUGCGAAAGCGUGGGGAGCAAACAGG
RNAcentral lists this ribosomal RNA (253 nucleotides) under uncultured bacterium. Its description in RNAcentral is "partial 16S ribosomal RNA". It matches the Rfam family "Bacterial small subunit ribosomal RNA", at positions 524 to 776 of the family's 1533-position model. The record is from RNAcentral.